AGCUCCAGUAUUUUUAACUCUAUUUUAUUUAUGCAUUUUAUUCAGUUUAGGCUUAUGAAGUGCUUUGCUAUGUCUGAGUAAUUCACUUGUUAGAUUUAGGGUCCAAAUAGGUUAAGAGAGAUUAGCCCAAAAUAUAGAAUUGCUAAGGUGAUAAAUAUCCUUCAAAGAAUUGUGGUUAAUGAAUGUGUACUAGAGUAGCUAACUAGAACCUUGAACUUAGGAUUAUGGACAACUACGAUGGUAGGUUCU
This 249-nucleotide long non-coding RNA is filed under the name Brassica napus (rape). RNAcentral describes it as "long non-coding RNA (BNAP_LNC012200)". The record is from RNAcentral. Lineage: Eukaryota; Viridiplantae; Streptophyta; Magnoliopsida; Brassicales; Brassicaceae.